UGCAACCGCGGGGACUCGAACCACCGAUGUCGAUAUUGCAAAUCCCUCACGCUAACCACUGCGCUAUAGAUAC
Oesophagostomum dentatum (nodular worm) is the source of this 73-nucleotide non-coding RNA. Lineage: Eukaryota; Metazoa; Nematoda; Chromadorea; Rhabditida; Strongylidae. The record is from the annotation of a GenBank genome assembly.